RNAcentral lists this ribosomal RNA (407 nucleotides) under uncultured bacterium. RNAcentral's name for it is "partial 16S ribosomal RNA". It matches the Rfam family "Bacterial small subunit ribosomal RNA", at positions 28 to 526 of the family's 1533-position model. The record is from RNAcentral.
GACGAACGCUGGCGGCGUGCCUAAUACAUGCAAGUAGAACGCAGUUGCGAACGGGGGAGGAACGCGUAGGUCACUGCCUGGUAGCGGGGGAUAACUAUUGGAAACGAUAGCUAAUACCGCAUACUACCAGAUGGAGCUGCGUUGUAUUAGCUAGUUGGUGAGGUAACGGCUCACCAAGGCAACGAUACAUAGCCGACCUGGGAGGGUGAUCGGGCACACUGUGACUGGGUGACGGGCCAGACUGCGACGGGGGGCAGCCGUAGGGAAUUUUCGGCAAUGGGGGGAACCCUGACCGGGCAACGCCGCGUGAGUGAAGAAGGUUUUCGGAUGGGAAAGAUCUGUUGUUUAGGAAGCGGUACUUAACCAGAAAGGGACGGCUAACUACGUGCCAGCAGCCGCGGUAAUAC